Molecule: ribosomal RNA, 517 nt
Filed under: uncultured Diversispora
Lineage: Eukaryota; Fungi; Glomeromycota; Glomeromycetes; Diversisporales; Diversisporaceae
Description: SSU rRNA
Rfam family: Eukaryotic small subunit ribosomal RNA
Source: RNAcentral
AGCAGCCGCGGUAAUUCCAGCUCCAAUAGCGUAUAUUAAAGUUGUUGCAGUUAAAAAGCUCGUAGUUGAACUUCGGGGUUUACUCAUUGGUCAGGCUUAAUUGUCUGUACUGGUGAGAUGAAUCUCUACCUUCUGAGGAACUUUCAUGCCAUUUAUUUGGUGUGGUUGGAAAUCAGGACUGUUACUUUGAAAAAUUAGAGUGUUUAAAGCAGGCUAACGUCUGAAUACAUUAGCAUGGAAUAAUGAAAUAGGACGGAUUGAUUCUAUUUCGUUGGUUUCUAGGGUCACCGUAAUGAUUAAUAGGGAUAGUUGGGGGCAUUAGUAUUCAAUUGUCAGAGGUGAAAUUCUUGGAUUUAUUGAAGACUAACUACUGCGAAAGCAUUUGCCAAGGAUGUUUUCAUUAAUCAAGAACGAAAGUUAGGGGAUCGAAGACGAUCAGAUACCGUCGUAGUCUUAACCAUAAACUAUGCCGACUAGGGAUCGGACGAAGUUAAUUAAUAAUGACGCGUUCGGCACC